This 44-nucleotide transfer RNA is filed under the name Tetranychus phaselus. RNAcentral describes it as "tRNA-Ile". Lineage: Eukaryota; Metazoa; Arthropoda; Arachnida; Trombidiformes; Tetranychidae. The record is from RNAcentral.
AAGUAAUAUUUUAGUUAUUGAUAAUUAACUUACCAAAAAUUACU